GGACUACCAGGGUAUCUAAUCCUGUUUGAUACCCACGCUUUCGUGCCUCAGCGUCAGUGACAUCUUAGCAGGCUGCUUUCGCAAUCGGUGUUCUGUGUCAUAUCUAUGCAUUUCACCGCUACACAACACAUUCCGCCUGCUUCAUUUGUACUCAAGGGCAAAAGUUUCAACGGCAGUGUUACAGUUGAGCUGUAAGAUUUCACCGCUGACUUCUCGCCCCGCCUACGCACCCUUUAAACCCAAUAAAUCCGGAUAACGCUCGGAUCCUCCGUAUUACCGCGGCUGCUGGCAC
Molecule: ribosomal RNA, 292 nt
Filed under: uncultured Bacteroidota bacterium
Lineage: Bacteria; Pseudomonadati; Bacteroidota
Description: uncultured Bacteroidetes bacterium partial 16S ribosomal RNA
Source: RNAcentral